This is a long non-coding RNA of Spinacia oleracea (spinach), 663 nucleotides long. RefSeq lists it as uncharacterized. The record is from RefSeq and is a predicted model, not a curated record. The transcript has 2 exons. Lineage: Eukaryota; Viridiplantae; Streptophyta; Magnoliopsida; Caryophyllales; Amaranthaceae.
UGCUCACAAUUAACAUUUUUAAUUCAAAGUUUGACAAUAAUGGCUGCUAACGCUUCCUCAGCUCAAGUAUAAAUACACCACCAUGCCACUUUAAACCCAUAACUUAAUUAAGCUUAGAAUUAAGCAUAUUCAUUAAUUCAUCUAAUUAAGAAAAAGAAAUAUUUCGAAGAAGAAACAAAAGGGUAAAAUAAAGAGAAAGAUGUCGUCCGAUUGCCCAGGGAAGAAUGAGUGGCCAGAACUCGUGGGACUAAAUGGAGAAGUGGCUGCACAGAUAAUAGAAAGUGAGAAUCCCAACGUGCAUGCCAUCGUUUUAGAAGAUGGAUCUCCGACUACUAGAGACUUUGAUUGCGAUCGGGUUUGGGUUUGGGUCGAUACUGACGGAGUUGUACGUGGUUCGUGCUCCUACAGCGGGUUAAGCGCGCUUUCAAGGUUACUAUGUAUUCUUCGUAUGAUAAACGUACUACCAAAAAUGUAUUUGGGUCUAUGUAGUGAUCCAACCUUAAUUAUAUUUAUGUUUUCAAUCAUGUACUGACCAAUAAAUAUUGUACUACGGAGUACAUAGUAAAUAAUAUGGCCUUUCGGGUUUCUAGCUACUUCAAUCAUAUACGGAUAUGUACAAAAAAAAAAAACUUAUUGAUGAUAAUAAAGUUUGUUUUCUACGUA